This is a non-coding RNA of Musa acuminata subsp. malaccensis (wild Malaysian banana), 2380 nucleotides long. Lineage: Eukaryota; Viridiplantae; Streptophyta; Magnoliopsida; Zingiberales; Musaceae. The record is from RefSeq and is a predicted model, not a curated record.
UCUCAGAUCCGGCCGCCAUGGCCUCCCGCCGCCGCAACACCCUCGCCACCUGCGCCGACUCCUCCUCCCAAACCGGCCUCGGGGCCCAGUGGAAAGAUCACUGACGAAUUCACCGGCGCCGGCGCGAUCGGGAAGGUAUGCCAGGUGAUCGGCGCCGUCGUCGAUGUCCGAUUCGACGAGGGGCUGCCCCCGAUCAUAACAGCGCUGGAGGUGCUCGACAACCAGAUCCGGCUCGUCCUCGAGGUCGCGCAGCAUCUGGGGGAGAACAUGGUGCGGACGAUCGCCAUGGACGGAACCGAAGGUCUCGUCCGCGGGCAGAGAGUCCUGAAAACUGGUUCGCCCAUCACUGUGAGCCUCGAGACCUCUUCUCUCCUCUUUUCAAUCGGAAUGGCCUUUCUUUGCGAUCGACAUCAAAAACAAUUCUUGUACAAUGCCGAUAUAUUUUUUCUCGGAAUUAACUUGAAUCAUCAAAUUCGUUGCAAAGGUGGUUUCUCUGUCUUUGCCGGUGUUGGGGAACGUACUCGUGAGGACAAUGAUUUGUACAGAGAAAUGAUUGAGAGUGGUGUUAUUAAGCUUGGAGACAAGCAGGGUGAAAGCAAGUGUGCUCUUGCAUAUGGGCAAAUGAACGAGCCCUUGUGCACGCGUUGGUUUGACUGGGUUGACGGUUGCUGAGCACUUCCGAGAUGCUGAGGGGCAGGAUGUGCUUCUCUUUAUUGACAACAUUUUUCACUUCACACAAGCGAACUCUGAAGUGUCUGCCUUGCUUGGUCGUAUACCCUCUGCUGUUGGCUACCAACCAACCCUUGCUACUGAUCUUGGAGGGCUGCAAGAACAACAAAGAAAGGAUCUAUUACUUCAGUGCAAGCUAUUUAUGUGCCUGCUGAUGACUUGACAGAUCUGGGUCCUGCAACAACCUUUGCCCAUCUGGACGCUACGACUAUGCUUUCGUGACAGAUUUCUGAGCUCGGCAUCUAUCCUGCUGUCGACCCUCUUGACUCCACAUCCAGAAUGCUUUCUCCACACAUGUUGGGGGAAGAACACUAUAACACUGCUCGUGGUGUUCAGAAGGUCCUCCAAAACUAUAAGAACCUACAAGAUAUCAUUGCAAUUCUGGGAAUGGAUGAACUCAGUGAAGAUGAUAAGUUGACAGUUGCUUGUGCUCGAAAGAUCCAGCGGUUCCUGAGCCAGCCUUUCCAUGUUGCUGAGGUAUUCACAGGUGCACCUGGAAAAUACGUCGAACUGAAAGAAAGUGUUCACAGCUUUCAGGGUGUUUUGGAUGGGAAGUAUGAUGACCUGCCUGAGCAGUCAUUUUGCAUGGUUGGAGGAAUAGAGGAAGUCGUCACAAAGGCAGAGACGAUUUCUAAGGAGGCAGCAGCAUGAUAGGAACUCACUACUAUCCAUAUUUAGUACCCUUUGAGGAUGCAGCUGGUGCUUCCUGCAUUCAACAAAUUGCAAUUUUGAAGUGGUGACUUAAAUCUUUAUGCUUCGUUAGUCCUGGGUCAGAUUUGUGGCUCUUUAGAGAUGAGAACACAUCAUGGUCCUUCGAGGAUACAUUUAGCCCAAUACGAGAACGCAGAGGUCUGUUUGAUCAUGCACUAAGAUGGAACUUUCAAAUGUCUAUUCAAGUUAAUUAAGUAUUUGUGUGCAUUGGCUGUAAGGCAAAUGGAUUCGUUUUCAAAAGUGGCGGUGCAUGAGUUCACAUGGACAAUUAUUGGUGCUGAUCUAGUUUCUUGUGGUGCAUCUUCUGGCCUCCAAGAAAUAGAACGUCCAUAUCAGCAAUUUAAUGCUCAGGGGCAGCUGGAGACUAGAAAACAAUUGCUUGCUAAUUGUGCAGUUGAUCUUUCCAUUUCUUCUGAACUUAUUAAGUCUAAGGGACUAUGAACUGCACACGGGGAAACCUGCACUGGCCACCAAUCCAGCCAGCCCUACAUUUCUUCUUGUAGGGAGUGAUUGCUCUACUCAAAGCUGGCUUUGUGGUUGUGGAAAAGCUGCAGCAGCCUAUGCCUCUCAAAGCUGUAAUUGGCAUCUGGAAUUGCAAUUAUUGGAGCGGUGGAAUGGACUCAUUGUAAUAAUGCCUCUCAUUUAACGUUUAGAGAGAGUCCUUUUCUUGCGAUUUGCUGGAAUACUUGGAAAUGAGAGUCUUUACUCAUCAUCCUUGUCCAACCAAACUGGUGAGCAGCAAUCAUUAGAACCUGGAUAUUAUUAGCACCAGCGACGCCAUCUGUUCCCUUGCAUAAUUGAAGCCCCGAUUAGGUGCUUCGCAAAGUUGCGUACCGUGUAGUGGACGCCGUUAUUAUUAUUGUACAAGGUAUGCAUAUAUUUAUCUGUAUACACAGUAAGAAAAAGAAUAAUCGAAUGCAGAGUCUCUCACCAAUACGAG